AGCUCCAAUAGCGUAUAUUAAAGUUGUUGCAGUUAAAUAGCUCGUAGUUGAAUCUUGGGGUUGGUUUGGCGGUCACAUCUUUGAUGUGUACUGUCGGCCGAUCCUUUUACUUGUGGGGAACAUAUGUGCUCUUUACGGGGUGUGUAUGGGAACCAUGGCUGUUACUUUGAAAAAAUUAGAGUGUUUAAAGCGGGCGUAAGCUUGUAUACAUUAGCAUGGAAUAAUAGAAUAGGACUUUGGUUUUAUUUUGUUGGUUUCUAGGGCCGACGUAAUGAUUAAUAGGGAUAGUUGGGGGCAUUAGUAUUUAAUAGUCAGAGGUGAAAUUCUUGGAUUUAUGAAAGACUAACUUCUGCGAAAGCAUUUGCCAAGGAUGUUUUCA
RNAcentral lists this ribosomal RNA (379 nucleotides) under uncultured Chytriomycetaceae. Its description in RNAcentral is "SSU rRNA". It matches the Rfam family "Eukaryotic small subunit ribosomal RNA", at positions 587 to 972 of the family's 1831-position model. Lineage: Eukaryota; Fungi; Chytridiomycota; Chytridiomycetes; Chytridiales; Chytriomycetaceae. The record is from RNAcentral.